AUAUAUCAAGGGCAAACCUAUUGAAAGGUAGGGACGCAAAGCCAUGGGUCUAAGGUUCCUACGAACUACGAAAGCCAGGUUGCAGGU
This 87-nucleotide non-coding RNA is filed under the name Paenibacillus wynnii. RNAcentral describes it as "c-di-GMP sequence". It matches the Rfam family "c-di-GMP-I riboswitch aptamer". Rfam says of the family: GEMM was predicted in a large-scale screen for bacterial structured RNA regulatory elements. Genes associated with GEMM are involved in a diverse array of functions, including chemotaxis regulation, signal transduction, secretion and chitin. Lineage: Bacteria; Bacillati; Bacillota; Bacilli; Caryophanales; Paenibacillaceae. The record is from Rfam by way of RNAcentral.